Molecule: ribosomal RNA, 253 nt
Filed under: uncultured bacterium
Lineage: Bacteria
Description: partial 16S ribosomal RNA
Rfam family: Bacterial small subunit ribosomal RNA
Source: RNAcentral
UACGUAGGGUGCAAGCGUUAUUCGGAUUUAUUGGGCGUAAAGGGCUCGUAGGCGGUUCGUCGCGUCCGGUGUGAGAGUCCAUCGCUUAACGGUGGAUCCGCGCCGGGUACGGGCGGGCUUGAGUGCGGUAGGGGAGACUGGAAUUCCCGGUGUAACGGUGGAAUGUGUAGAUAUCGGGAAGAACACCAAUGGCGAAGGCAGGUCUCUGGGCCGUUACUGACGCUGAGGAGCGAAAGCGUGGGGAGCGAACAGG